Long non-coding RNA from Carassius auratus (goldfish), 1061 nucleotides. RefSeq lists it as uncharacterized. The transcript has 3 exons. The record is from RefSeq and is a predicted model, not a curated record. Lineage: Eukaryota; Metazoa; Chordata; Actinopteri; Cypriniformes; Cyprinidae.
UGUAGCACGCUGUGAUGGAGGAGUGGAGAGGGCACAGACUGAAGCAGAUUGUGGUGGUGGCAGCACAGUGUGUCCAUCAAAUCGAAGCUGGAGUCCCUAAAUCAGGUCAAUGCCUAGCAAACCUGUGUCAUUGUCAACGAUGAAGAAGUAAGACAGGAUGGACACUGAUGAACCAGUGUCCACUGUGAGCUGUAGAGACACAGGGAUGGCAGCAGGUGUGGCAUCUAUGAUCACAUCAAACCGUCAGUUGCUCCAGAUGCAGCAGGGCAAUUCUGUGCAUUUGCAAGAUGUCCAGCAGUGCCACAGCGAAAGCAUGUCCGAGCUGACGAAGCAGGAGCAGAAGCAGAAGCAGAGGGUUUUGAUGAGGUACGUGCCUUGAAUUUGGUCUUUGAACGUCGCCGUCCAAAAGCAGGAGUGGAAUGUACAGCUUGUACUGGAGCAGGGUUGCUUGUAGCCAUUGAUUGUGCCAGAAUAUCAGCGGCUUCUAGCUGUGUGGCAAUUGUAAUCGCAGUCUCUAGAUAUAAUUUAGAUUCCACUAAUAAUCUUUCACGAAUGCGAGGGUUAGCAAUGUUUUCAACAAGCUGGUCACGCAGCAUAUUGUCAAGAUUGUCAGCAAAUUCACAAGUAGUUGCCAAAUCUCUCAGUGCAGCAAUAUAUUGCCAUUUCAUCUGUCCACUGCACUUGUUUCCUGAAGGCAUGUCUUUCCAUUACCACAUUUCUUUUUGGAAUGAAGUGCUCUUCCAAAGCUUUAAUAGCAUACUGAUACCAUCUUCAGGAAAUCUUGUAAAAAAAAUCUUCCUUGUCGCCAAUUUUGUUAUGUCUUCAUGAAGACAAGAAGUACAAGACUUAGUAAACUUUAAUAACUACUAUGAACAAGCAGUCUUUCUUCCUCAUCUCACUUACUAUGUAUAAAUCUAACUCAAGAGGCUUGAGUUCCAUCUAGUGGUGCAUUAAUGUAAGGACAUCACAGUAUUCAGAUCCCUUUAAAUGUUUCACUCUUUGUUAUAUUGCAGCCAUUUGCUUAAAUCAUUUAAGUUCAUUUUUUUCCUCAUUAAUGUACA